RNAcentral lists this ribosomal RNA (146 nucleotides) under Monilinia oxycocci. Lineage: Eukaryota; Fungi; Ascomycota; Leotiomycetes; Helotiales; Sclerotiniaceae. The record is from RNAcentral.
UAGAGCUUACGCCCACAGGGGCAGAACCUCUCCACCCUUUGCGUACCCAUACUUUGUUGCUUUGGCGGGCCGCCCUCGGGCCUCGCGCGCCCGCCAAUGACCAAACCCUUUUUUAUUCCUGUCGUCUGAGCACUAUAUAAUAGUUA